Molecule: long non-coding RNA, 3127 nt
Filed under: Trifolium pratense (red clover)
Lineage: Eukaryota; Viridiplantae; Streptophyta; Magnoliopsida; Fabales; Fabaceae
Description: long non-coding RNA (TPRA_LNC006718)
Source: RNAcentral
GUGCUUAAUCUCUAUUUAAUUAAUAUAUAAGUUGAGACAAUAUACAAAAAAAAAUGCAAUGUACAUACUUUAAUAGUACACGAUACAAUAGAAAUUGAGAUAAAUAUAUCAUGAAUAUACAAUAGAAAUUGUGUCUAUCCUAGUUGCACUCAGGCUUUAGCUAAUCUUCCACAAACUCUAGAGUUUCCUUGUAGUUGGAGAACUGGUACAAUAUCAAGCUCGUGUUGAGCUUUUCUGCUUGUAUAUGGCACAUUAUGUGCACUAAUUACUUGGUAUUGGAUAUAAAGUCCUGACCUAUUUAAUCUCAUGCUUCAUGUGUUACCUAAAAUUNNNNNNNNNNNNNNNNNNNNNNNNNNNNNNNNNNNNNNNNNNNNNNNNNNNNNNUUGCUCACCUAAAAUCACUCUUUAAGGUCGCAGUCCCGUUGUCGAGAUGAACUAAAUAAUAAAUUUCAAGCUUGAUAUUGAAAGCUACUCCCAUAUUUCCCUUCAGCGUGUAUACACUUUAACCAAUAGAUCUUGAAAGACAUCAACAACUGUUGAACCUCGCAAUACAACAUUGUGAAAUCAAAGAGUACACACAUUAAAUUAUGGAGACUUUAAGUAACUAAAAAAUCUAAUAUGCCUCUUUGGAAUAUUGGCAGGAUCUUCCUUUAUAACCUUCGCCUAUGAAAUAAUCAUCUAUUUUGUACCCCCCCAUUGCAUUGCAUUACACUGUCCACUAUACCAUAUUUAAAAAAAUAGAAUUUAAAAUAUUUGAUCGGAUACAUCAAAUAUGGAAGUCUCCACUUUGAAUUUGGUGCCUCUGGCAGCUUGAACUUGAAGGUGUGCCAUGUGUUACCUGCAAUGAUGUGUCCAUUUACAAACAUAGUUAGCCACAACUCUCAACCUCACCAUUGAAAGUUAAAAUGUUUAUUAAAGUUAAAAGUUAAAAUGUUUAAUCAAGAAACAUACAUACAUGCUUAUUAUAGUUGCAGCCACAUGAUUAUGUGGUUAAAAAUUAUGCAGGCUGGAUCUUGGAGUUAUAACAGAACUGAAAAGUGGUUCCAAGUGCUCUUUAAUUUGUAAAAACAUUUUCAAAGUUAAUUCAAGAAUAUUACUUUCAUCAAAGAGAAUGAAACAAUGGUAACACUUUCUCAGCCCUGUCAUAAACAAUCCAGUUUAGAAUACAAUCUAAAAGGCUCAUUGACAUUAUGUAAGUGCUCACAUCCAAAUCCAUCAAAUUUCAUUCAAGCACUUUCCACAUUUUCAUUUACUGUUGCCCAAUUUAUGAUCUUUUUUUUCAUAUCAGAAAACUGAUAAUUGAAUGCCCAAUAAUUUCAAGAAACUAAAAAUUAGGUAAAUAAUCUUUUUACUUGAUAAUAGAUUAGGGAAAUCUCCGAAUAAUGUAGAGAAGUUCAAAAAACCAUUCCAGGAUCAACAAAAAUGAACUUAGAAAAGAGGACUCGCCCAUUUAAGAACCACCAAAAUCAUUACCAAAUCCUCAUUUACAAAUUAAGACAUCGGCAACUGCAACAUACAGAGCAACAUAGCAUCAAUGAGAUUGGUAGCAGAAUCAAAUCAAACAAAUAAAGAACCAUAGAAAGCUUAAUAAUCACUAUAUAAGCACUUUGGCUUUUAUGUUCCAACACUAUUUACUUGAUUGCUUGCAAAGUGAAGUCUUUCUUUUAAGUGAGGCCUUAAAUAUUCAAAGUGAAAAAAUCAUUCAUAAAUUUAUAAGAAAGCGAAAGUUAUAGAAAUAUUCAUAAACUAAAAAAUAAUAUAAGAAUUAGUUUUUGCAUCAAUCAACAUUUCAUAUAAUAUAUAUGCAUAAAUUGUGAUCCAAUGAAUCACCAAUAAAAAUCACAAUGCAACUUCGUAAAAGUAAUCAACAGUUACAACAUAACUACAUGUCUUUUCUCAAUGCAUAUUUAUCUCAUGAAUGACCAUUAACUUAAACAGAAUAAAAAAUCACAACUUUGAUUUAUAGUUAAAUAGUUAAAUUCAUAUGAAUGAAAGAUCUAUAUAAUUGAUGUACGAUAAGAAACUAAUAGAAGUUGGAAUCAGCAUGUUUCUUUCAAUGUGGUCAUGUUAUAAGUAGGUAAUUACCUUGAUUAAAAACUAUACCAUAAACAGAUUAGUGGAAAGUACACACACUUCUUUGAUAUAACUUUUUUAAGCUUGUGUAUUAAAAUAAUGAACAAAGUGAAAGCAUUAGACACUUCCAUCUGCACAUGAAUUAGAAGCAUUUCAGAGGCAAAGGUUUCAAAAUAAAUAAGGAACCAUAAAUAUAUUAUAAGCAUAAGUCUAUAACCUUACUUUUGAGAAGCAUGCAAUUCCUCAAAAUUAGGACCUCGAGCAAAUUUCUACCAAUGCAGCUGCCAAGUUUCCUGAGAGAAGAAUUCAACUAACAAAUUUAGGACCAGUAUAAGAAAGAAACACACUACUAUAAGAACUCAGCAGACCACCUCUAAAAGAAGCUUCAUGUAAAUAACAAAUCAAAAUAAGAAAAACAUAUAGUAGUUAUCAAACUCUAAUUCUAAAACAAAAAAGUAAAGCCAAAGAAAUACAAAAUUAGGGAUUAGAAAUACAAAUGAAAUAAAAUAGAUGGCUAUUAAAAAUUAGGUAUUUUGAAAAAGAAAGAGUAUACCCAGAAUCAAACAAUAACAUUGUCGUCGUUGGGCCGUGUGCUCUGCUUCAUCGAUCUUUGUCGUCGUUGGGUUUGUGAACCUGAACAAACAAUAACAUUCCCAAAAAAAAAAUUAAAAAUCAGAAUAUGAAAUUAAAUCAUGAAAUAAGGAAGGGAUUGAGAAGCAAGUUAAAACCUUUCUUAUUGACAAAGCUGAAGAAGCAUAUACCCAAAAUUUGAGGAAAAAAGUUGACAACAUAGAAAACCAUAUCAAAAACACGACAAAGAUAAACGUUGUUUUUGAAAAAUUUUGGAGGGGUUUUUGAAAUUUGAAAGCAUGAUGCAUUAGUCAAAGUUUGCAGAGAACACUUAGUUUUUCACCAAAAUGGAAGUUUUUGUUGAAGAUGGAGAGAAAGAAGACAUCAACAAAGCAGAAAGGGAAGAGAAAGAUUCUUUCCUUUUUCUUUUUUUAAAUUUUUUUUCUUUCUUUUUUCUGUUAUAUUGAAUUUUAAAAUUUGCAAA